Molecule: ribosomal RNA, 492 nt
Filed under: uncultured bacterium
Lineage: Bacteria
Description: partial 16S ribosomal RNA
Rfam family: Bacterial small subunit ribosomal RNA
Source: RNAcentral
AGUGAACGCUGGCGGUAGGCCUAACACAUGCAAGUCGAACGGCAGCACAGUAAGAGCUUGCUCUUACGGGUGGCGAGUGGCGGACGGGUGAGGAAUACAUCGGAAUCUACUUUUUCGUGGGGGAUAACGUAGGGAAACUUACGCUAAUACCGCAUACGACCUACGGGUGAAAGCAGGGGAUCUUCGGACCUUGCGCGAUUGAAUGAGCCGAUGUCGGAUUAGCUAGUUGGCGGGGUAAAGGCCCACCAAGGCGACGAUCCGUAGCUGGUCUGAGAGGAUGAUCAGCCACACUGGAACUGAGACACGGUCCAGACUCCCACGGGAGGCAGCAGUGGGGAAUAUUGGACAAUGGGCGCAAGCCUGAUCCAGCCAUACCGCAUGGGUGAAGAAGGCCUUCGGGUUGUAAAGCCCUUUUGUUGGGAAAGAAAAGCAGCAGGUUAAUACCCCGCUGUUCUGACGGUACCCAAAGAAUAAGCACCGGCUAACUUCGUG